This 423-nucleotide ribosomal RNA is filed under the name uncultured bacterium. RNAcentral describes it as "bacterial SSU rRNA". It matches the Rfam family "Bacterial small subunit ribosomal RNA", at positions 357 to 773 of the family's 1533-position model. The record is from RNAcentral.
GCGAAUCAUUCACAAUGGGCGCAAGCCUGAUGAUGCCACGCCGCGUGCGGGAUGAAGGCCCUUUGGGUUGUAAACCGCUGUCAAGGAAGGGGAAACGUACGUCACGAACAGUGGCGUGCUUGACUGCUUUCUAAAGGAAGCCCCGGCAAAACAUGUGCCAGCAGCCGCGGUAAUACAUGUGGGGCAAGCGUUGUUCGGAAUUACUGGGCAUAAAGGGUGCGUAGGCGGUUUGUUAAGUCACUGGUGAAAGUUUUCGGCCCAACCGGAAAAUUGCCUGUGAUACUGGCGAACUUGAGUGCGGGAGGGGUGGGGGGAACGAGCAGUGUAGCGGUGAAAUGCGUAGAUAUUGCUCGGAAGGCCGGAGCCGAAGGGGCCCCACUGGUACGUAACUGACGCUGAGGCACGAAAGCGUGGGGAGCAAAC